This 440-nucleotide ribosomal RNA is filed under the name uncultured bacterium. Its description in RNAcentral is "partial 16S ribosomal RNA". It matches the Rfam family "Bacterial small subunit ribosomal RNA", at positions 338 to 795 of the family's 1533-position model. The record is from RNAcentral.
CCUACGGGUGGCAGCAGUAGGGAAUAUUGCUCAAUGGGGGAAACCCUGAAGCAGCAACGCCGCGUGAAGGAUGAAGGAUUUCGGAUUGUAAACUUCUUUUGUCAGAGAAGAUAAUGACGGUAUCUAACGAAUAAGCACCGGCUAACUACGUGCCAGCAGCCGCGGUAAUACGGAGGGGGCAAGCGUUACUCGGAAUCACUGGGCGUAAAGAGCGCGUAGGCGGGAUAGCAAGUCAGAUGUGAAAUCCUAUGGCUUAACCAUAGAACUGCAUUUGAAACUGUUAUUCUAGAGUAUGGGAGAGGUAGGUGGAAUUCUUGGUGUAGGGGUAAAAUGCGUAGAGAUCAAGAGGAAUACUCAUUGCGAAGGCGACCUGCUAGACCAUAACUGACGCUGAUGCGCGAAAGCGUGGGGAGCAAACAGGAUUAGAUACCCUUGUAGUC